UACAGAGGUCUCAAGCGUUGUUCGGAUUCAUUGGGCGUAAAGGGUGCGUAGGCGGCGGGGCAAGUCUGGUGUGAAAUCCCGGGGCUCAACUCCGGAACUGCACUGGAUACUGCCUUGCUAGAGUACUGGAGAGGGAACUGGAAUUUACGGUGUAGCAGUGAAAUGCGUAGAGAUCGUAAGGAAGACCAGGGGCGAAGGCGAGUUCCUGGACAGUAACUGACGCGGAGGCACGAAGGCUAGGGGAGCAAACGGG
Molecule: ribosomal RNA, 253 nt
Filed under: uncultured bacterium
Lineage: Bacteria
Description: partial 16S ribosomal RNA
Rfam family: Bacterial small subunit ribosomal RNA
Source: RNAcentral